This 866-nucleotide ribosomal RNA is filed under the name Fructobacillus durionis. RNAcentral describes it as "bacterial SSU rRNA". It matches the Rfam family "Bacterial small subunit ribosomal RNA", at positions 60 to 910 of the family's 1533-position model. The record is from RNAcentral. Lineage: Bacteria; Bacillati; Bacillota; Bacilli; Lactobacillales; Lactobacillaceae.
AGUCGUACGAACAGCGGAAAGUGCUUGCACUUUCCAAGUAAGUGGCGAACGGGUGAGUAACACGUGAAUAACCUACCUCAAAGACUGGGAUAACCAUUGGAAACAGUGACUAAUACCGGAUAAAACCCAGUAGCACAUGCUACAAGGUUAAAAGCUGCGUUUGCAGCGCUUUAAGAUGGAUUCGCGGUGCAUUAGUUAGUUGGUGAGGUAAAGGCUCACCAAGACAAUGAUGCAUAGCCGAGUUGAGAGACUGACCGGCCACAUUGGGACUGAGACACGGCCCAAACUCCUACGGGAGGCUGCAGUAGGGAAUCUUCCACAAUGGGCGCAAGCCUGAUGGAGCAACGCCGCGUGUGUGAUGAAGGCUUUCGGGUCGUAAAGCACUGUUGUAUGGGAAGAACGGGUUUAAGAGGAAAUGCUUAAGNAGUGACGGUACCAUACCAGAAAGGGACGGCUAAAUACGUGCCAGCAGCCGCGGUAAUACGUAUGUCCCGAGCGUUAUCCGGAUUUAUUGGGCGUAAAGCGAGCGCAGACGGUUCGAUAAGUCUGAAGUGAAAGCCCACAGCUCAACUGUGGAAUGGCUUUGGAAACUGUCGAACUUGAGUGCAGUANAGGUAAGUGGAACUCCAUGUGUAGCGGUGGAAUGCGUAGAUAUAUGGAAGAACACCAGUGGCGAANGCGGCUUACUGGACUGCAACUGACGUUGANGCUCGAAAGUGUGGGUAGCAAACAGGAUUAGAUACCCUGGUAGUCCACACCGUAAACGAUGGAUACUAGUUGUUANAGGGUUUCCGCCCUUUANUGACGAAGCAACGCAUUAAGUAUCCCGCCUGGGGAGUACGACCGCAAGGUNANACUCNAGNAAU